Malania oleifera is the source of this 106-nucleotide small nucleolar RNA. NCBI's taxonomy places the organism in Eukaryota, Viridiplantae, Streptophyta, Magnoliopsida, Santalales, Ximeniaceae. The record is from RefSeq and is a predicted model, not a curated record.
ACUUGAUGGUGUGGGCAUUUACAUAAGAGGUCUAUAAAAUGCUCCUAUGUCUCGAAAAAUAGUUCCCCAUCCACUUGUUAGAAACUAGUGAUUGCCCUCCUAAGCU